GGACCCGCACAAGCGGUGGAGCAUGUGGUUUAAUUCGAUGCAACGCGAAAAACCUUACCUACACUUGACAUACUUCGAAUUUUCUAGAGAUAGAUUAGUGCCUUCGGGAGCGAAGAUACAGGUGCUGCAUGGCUGUCGUCAGCUCGUGUCGUGAGAUGUUGGGUUAAGUCCUAUAACGAGCGCAACCCUUACCCUUAUUUGCCAGCGGUUAGGCCGGGAACUAUAAGGGAACUGCCGGUAAUAAGCCGGAGGAAGGUGGGGACGACGUCAAGUCAUCAUGGCCCUUACGUGUAGGGCUACACACGUGCUACAAUGGGAGAUACAGACGGUUGCUAAAGCGCGAGCUGGAGCCAAUCCGACAAAGUCUCUCGUAGUCCGAAUUGCAGUCUGGAACUCGACUGCAUGAAGCCGGAAUCGCUAGUAAUCGCGGAUC
RNAcentral lists this ribosomal RNA (433 nucleotides) under uncultured bacterium. RNAcentral describes it as "bacterial SSU rRNA". It matches the Rfam family "Bacterial small subunit ribosomal RNA", at positions 917 to 1350 of the family's 1533-position model. The record is from RNAcentral.